RNAcentral lists this ribosomal RNA (120 nucleotides) under Pteropus alecto (black flying fox). The record is from RNAcentral. Lineage: Eukaryota; Metazoa; Chordata; Mammalia; Chiroptera; Pteropodidae.
GCCCCUUGAUACUCCAAGUGUGGUCCUAGGUGAUCCUGUCUGAUCUCGGAAGCUAAGCAGGGUCGGGCCUGGUUAGUACUUGGAUGGGAGACCACCUAGAAAGACCAGGUGCUGUUGGCG